This 254-nucleotide ribosomal RNA is filed under the name uncultured bacterium. RNAcentral's name for it is "partial 16S ribosomal RNA". It matches the Rfam family "Bacterial small subunit ribosomal RNA", at positions 524 to 776 of the family's 1533-position model. The record is from RNAcentral.
UACGUAGGGUGCGAGCGUUGUCCGGAAUUAUUGGGCGUAAAGAGCUCGUAGGCGGUGUGUCACGUCGGCCGUGAAAACCUGCAGCUUAACUGUGGGCGUGCGGUCGAUACGGGCAUCACUGGAGUUCGGCAGGGGAGACUGGAAUUCCUGGUGUAGCGGUGAAAUGCGCAGAUAUCAGGAGGAACACCGGUGGCGAAAACGGGUCUCUGGGCCGAUACUGACGCUGAGGAGCGAAAGCGUGGGGAGCAAACAGG